Molecule: unclassified non-coding RNA, 785 nt
Filed under: Hevea brasiliensis (rubber tree)
Lineage: Eukaryota; Viridiplantae; Streptophyta; Magnoliopsida; Malpighiales; Euphorbiaceae
Source: RNAcentral
AGCACUGUUAUAUUUUUUUUGGCAUAGAUGCAUGAACUGGUUGAUGGUGGAACUUGUCACCUUUAUAAUCUUACUUUUGUGAGUAACAAACAUUUGCUAGUUUAUUAAAAUCAAUUUGGUUAAUAAUAGAUAUUGUAUAAAAUGCUUUUGGGUACUCUUUGAAUCAAAAAAAAAAUAUAACAGUGCUUACAAAAUUGAGGAAGGUGAACUAGUGAAGUAAAUCCUAUAAUAUGUGCACCUGCAAAGAAUCAUCAAUGCCUUUCUUGCCGAACUCGGGAAUUAUGGGUCUCUUCAAUAUGUCGGGUAAGCAGUGAAAUCCCAUAAUGUGAGGCACUUGAAGCAGCAUAAUAGGAUGUCACUGUGAGUUGAGCAAACUUUGGAAGUGCAUAACCUCCAAAUGCAGCACUUGCACCUGAAACCACUAGCAGGGGAGGAAGCCCAACUACAAAAGGCAGCCAUUUUGGUCCCUUGAGACGAUUUUGAAGGAAUGGGAUCCCUGUAUUGAAACCAUGAACAGCACUAAGCAUUCCACCAAUACCCGACCCAGCCACGGCAGUGGCAUCAUGUAAAACGGAAGUAAUAGUCCAUUCUCCCUUUCCAGAAUUAGGGAUUAAUAGAGAGAGACAGCGAGGGCAGCGAGGGGAACCGAGGCCAGGGUUGAUGGUGGGAUCAUGAUGCAGAUUCCCAGUCCUUAAUUUCUGCUCGUACACCUCCCGAGUUCCCAUCUUCGUAUAUGCGGUUUCAGUUCCUGUGUGCUCUGUUAUAGUAGUUCAACUCCAACACAA